Long non-coding RNA from Puntigrus tetrazona (Sumatra barb), 1170 nucleotides. RefSeq lists it as uncharacterized. The record is from RefSeq and is a predicted model, not a curated record. The transcript is spliced from 5 exons. Lineage: Eukaryota; Metazoa; Chordata; Actinopteri; Cypriniformes; Cyprinidae.
CGUGCGCAGCAGCGCUCCUCUCACGAGCUGCGCGUUCACCUGUUCACAUGCACUGUUCCCUCGUGGAGGAGGAGUCCACGAGGUCUUACCUCGCGCUGCAUUAUAAACAGACAGACUGAGAGUGACAUCCAGCUAACUGACUCCAGAUCAGAUUGGGACAGGUCUCAGCGGGGCCGUGCCACUCAGUUCAGGCAGCCGGUUGGCUGUGACAUCCAUGGAGAUCCUGUAACCCAGUGCCCAUGGUUUGCCCAUACGAAGGGGACGCCAUACCUUUCAGCACGACCGAUUUCAAAUGGUGCUAGAAAACCCCAGUCCACUCUGAACACCAGAGGAAAUCAGUCACGCUACAAAAGGGCCCCUCUGAAGGACGCUGCAGUGUGUCAUAGCAGCUUAGCCAUGGACCAUCAGUGCUGAAAAGAGGGGACCUCCCGGAAUCAGCAUGGCAGCGGAUCUAUGUGCCGUAAGAGAGAGCUUGUAAAGCUCUUAUACAGAAGAACGAACAGUCCCAAGAAAGAUACUCAGCCAGUGUGUGGGAUGACCAUGUGCUCAUCCUUGUCAGAAACACAGUGAUGCCGUCUUGGAGUGUGUGUGUGUGUGUGUGUGUGUGUGUGUGAGUGCGUAAGAAAGAGUGAAAUAAAUAAAUGCUGAGCUGCUUUAAAGACAGAACUUAAUUCAAUGAGAAAUGUAAAAAUAAUGAAAAAUACCUCAAUAAGACUGAAGGAAGAUCAGCAUGAUGUGAGGAUGCAGUGGAGGAGAGACGAGAGCCAAGAGAAGCAUGGAGGCUUGUCUGUCUGGAAACAGUCUCUCAGACAGACUUGACAGCCCCCCGCCCAUGCCCCCCAAACUGCUGGCUUUGAAAACACCCCUACACCCACCAAGCACCCCUCCCUUCCCUCCCUACCCUCACCAACAACCACGCCAUCUCCACAACAUGGCCUUUGCGCAGGGAAUUUCACUCUUUUAUGUCGCACUCUUGGUACUUUUAGCAAAAACUAAAACUCUUAUUUCAGAGUCUAUUGUUAACAAGCAGCGUGUUUUUAGGUCUGUUGUCUCAUGACCCAGUGCAUGUGAGGUGAAUAUGGGCCAGGGUGCCCUCUAAAGGCAACCGCUGUAAAUAGCAGGAGGGUACUCUCAAGAGAGAGCGUGAUUAUACUGUUUACAUGCAAGGUC